CCUACGGGUGGCAGCAGUGAGGAAUAUUGGUCAAUGGGCGGAAGCCUGAACCAGCCAAGUCGCGUGCAGGAUGACGGCCCUAUGGGUUGUAAACUGCUUUUGUACGGGAACAACAGGCCUUACGCGUAGGGUUUCGCGAGUACCGGAUGAAAAAGCAUCGGCUAAUUCCGUGCCAGCAGCCGCGGUAAUACGGAGGGUGCGGGCGUUAUCCGGAUUUAUUGGGUUUAAAGGGUGCGCAGGCGGAAGUUCAAGGGAGCGGUAAAAUUUAGAGGCUCAACCUCGCCGUGCCGUGGAAACUGGCGUGCUUGAGUGAGUGGGAAGCAGGCGGAAUGCGUGGUGUAGCGGUGAAAUGCUUAGAUAUGACGAAGAACCCCGAUUGCGAAGGCAGCAUGCUGGAGCGGAACUGACGCUGAUGCACGAAAGCGUGGGUAUCGAACAGGAUUAGAUACCCUUGUAGUC
Molecule: ribosomal RNA, 459 nt
Filed under: uncultured bacterium
Lineage: Bacteria
Description: partial 16S ribosomal RNA
Rfam family: Bacterial small subunit ribosomal RNA
Source: RNAcentral